Molecule: long non-coding RNA, 215 nt
Filed under: Gallus gallus (chicken)
Lineage: Eukaryota; Metazoa; Chordata; Aves; Galliformes; Phasianidae
Source: RNAcentral
CUUUCUCUUGCUGUUCUUUGAUGAUUUUGUUAGUCUCCAGUGCAAGUCGCUUCUGAUGCAUUAACUCCUGGCGUUCUUGCUCACGAAGAUGUGCUUCUCUCUGCUUCUCUUCUUCAGUCAUGAAAAGUUCCUUUCCAGCGCCUGCCACUACAGAGAUAGUCAAAGUACGGCUACUUUUGAGUACUCUGACAGCCUCUUUAUGAUCCACAUUUGAA